This 74-nucleotide transfer RNA is filed under the name Quadrula quadrula (mapleleaf mussel). Its description in RNAcentral is "tRNA-Glu". Lineage: Eukaryota; Metazoa; Mollusca; Bivalvia; Unionida; Unionidae. The record is from RNAcentral.
GUUUGUUUAGUACAGCAUUACAGUACACCGGACUUUCAAACCGGAGACACUAGCCACGUAACCAACUACGAAAC